AGUCGAGCGAACGGACGAGAAGCUUGCUUCUCUGAUGUUAGCGGCGGACGGGUGAGUAACACGUGGAUAACCUACCUAUAAGACUGGGAUAACUUCGGGAAACCGGAGCUAAUACCGGAUAAUAUUUUGAACCGCAUGGUUCAAAAGUGAAAGACGGUCUUGCUGUCACUUAUAGAUGGAUCCGCGCUGCAUUAGCUAGUUGGUAAGGUAACGGCUUACCAAGGCAACGAUGCAUAGCCGACCUGAGAGGGUGAUCGGCCACACUGGAACUGAGACACGGUCCAGACUCCUACGGGAGGCAGCAGUAGGGAAUCUUCCGCAAUGGGCGAAAGCCUGACGGAGCAACGCCGCGUGAGUGAUGAAGGUCUUCGGAUCGUAAAACUCUGUUAUUAGGGAAGAACAUAUGUGUAAGUAACUGUGCACAUCUUGACGGUACCUAAUCAGAAAGCCACGGCUAACUACGUGCCAGCAGCCGCGGUAAUACGUAGGUGGCAAGCGUUAUCCGGAAUUAUUGGGCGUAAAGCGCGCGUAGGCGGUUUUUUAAGUCUGAUGUGAAAGCCCACGGCUCAACCAUGGAGGGUCAUUGGAAACUGGAAAACUUGAGUGCAGAAGAGGAAAGUGGAAUUCCAUGUGUAGCGGUGAAAUGCGCAGAGAUAUGGAGGAACACCAGUGGCGAA
RNAcentral lists this ribosomal RNA (677 nucleotides) under uncultured Staphylococcus sp. RNAcentral's name for it is "bacterial SSU rRNA". It matches the Rfam family "Bacterial small subunit ribosomal RNA", at positions 60 to 719 of the family's 1533-position model. The record is from RNAcentral. Lineage: Bacteria; Bacillati; Bacillota; Bacilli; Caryophanales; Staphylococcaceae.